AGAGUUUGAUCAUGGCUCGAGGACGAACGCUGGCGGUGUGCUUCACACAUGCAAGUCGAACGAGGUAGCAAUACCUAGUGGCGGACGGGUGAGUAACGCGUGGGAAUCUGCCUUUAGAUGGGGGAUAACGGGUCGAAAGACUCGCUAAUACCGCAUAUGACGAAAGUUGAAAGGAGUAAUCCGUCUAAAGAUGAGCCCGCGUCCGAUUAGCUAGUUGGUAGAGUAAAAGCCUACCAAGGCGACGAUCGGUAGCUGGUCUGAGAGGAUGAUCAGCCACAAUGGGACUGAGACACGGCCCAUACUCCUACGGGAGGCAGCAGUGGGAAUUUUACGCAAUGGGCGAAAGCCUGACGUAGCGACACCGCGUGAGCGAAGAAGCCCCUUGGGGUGUAAAGCUCUGUCAGCUGGAACGAAAAAAUGACGGUACCAGCAGAGGAAGCAUCGGCUAACUACGUG
RNAcentral lists this ribosomal RNA (456 nucleotides) under uncultured bacterium. RNAcentral's name for it is "bacterial SSU rRNA". It matches the Rfam family "Bacterial small subunit ribosomal RNA", at positions 8 to 507 of the family's 1533-position model. The record is from RNAcentral.